This 403-nucleotide ribosomal RNA is filed under the name uncultured bacterium. Its description in RNAcentral is "partial 16S ribosomal RNA". It matches the Rfam family "Bacterial small subunit ribosomal RNA", at positions 28 to 526 of the family's 1533-position model. The record is from RNAcentral.
GACGAACGCUGGCGGCGUGCCUAAUACAUGCAAGUCGAACGCAGUGGGGACGGGUGAGUAACACGUGGGUAACCUCCCAUCAGAGGGGAUAACACUUGGAAACAGGUGCUAAACCGAUACUGAUGGAUGGACCCGCGGUGCAUUAGCUAGUUGGUGAGGUAACGGCUCACCAAGGCUACGAUGCAUAGCGGACCGGAUAGGGUGAUCACCCAAACUGGUACUGAGACACGGCCCAGACUCCGACGGGAGGCAGCAGUGGGUAAGAUUGGGCAAUGGACGAAAGUCUGACCGAGCAACGCAGCGUGAGUGAAGAAGGUUUUCGGUGCGUAAAACUCUGUUGUUAGAGAAGCGGUAUCUAACCAGAAAGCCACGGCUAACUACGUGCCAGUAGCCGCGGGAAUAC